Molecule: long non-coding RNA, 251 nt
Filed under: Populus tremula
Lineage: Eukaryota; Viridiplantae; Streptophyta; Magnoliopsida; Malpighiales; Salicaceae
Description: long non-coding RNA (PTRE_LNC000494)
Source: RNAcentral
GCGCGUGGGAAGACGCGCCGCCACUGUUUUCUGCCACCAGAAGCCUUCCCAGCACUGUUCCCGUGCACUGUUCCUGCAUGUUCUAGAAGCUUUAAGAUUUUUUAGGGUUUAUUUUGUAUUUUUUUUUAUUUUGUUUGAUGUAAUAUUUAUUUAAUUUGAAUUUUUAUUUGUAUGUUGUAAAUGUGGAAAUACCAAAAAGAAAAAAAGAAAAGAAAAGAAAAGAAACAAAAAAUAGUAAAAGUGAAUGUGGG